AUGUUCAACAUCUUUAGUCAUAAGGGAAAUGCAAACCAAAACAACCCUGAGAUUUCACCUCACACCAGUGAGAAUGGCUAAGAUCAAAAACUCAGAUGACAGCAGAUGCUUGCGAGGAUGUGGAGAAAGAGGAACACUCCUCCAUUGUUGGUGGGAUUGCAGACUGGUACACCCAUUCUGGAAAUUAGUCUGGAGGUUCCUCAGAAAAUUGGACAUUGAACUACCUGAGGACCCAGCUAUACCUCUCUUGGGCAUAUACCCAAAAAAUGCCCCAACAUAUAACAAAGACACAUGCUCCACUAUGUUCAUAGCAGUCUUAUUUAUAAUAGCCAGAAGCUGGAAAGAACCCAGAUGCCCUUCAACAGAGGAAUGGAUACAGAAAAUGUGGUACAUCUACACAAUGGAAUAUUACUCAGCUAUCAAAAACAAUGACUUUAUGAAAUUCAUAGGCAAAUGGAGGGAACUGGAAAAUAUCAUCCUGAGUGAGGUAACCCAAUCACACACAUGGAAAAACGCACAUGGUAUGCACUCAUUGAUAAGUGGCUAUUAGCCCAAAUGUUUGAAUUACCCUAGAUGCACAGAACACAUGAAACUCAAGACGGAUGAUCCAAAAAAAAAAAAAAAAA
RNAcentral lists this long non-coding RNA (626 nucleotides) under Rattus norvegicus (Norway rat). Its description in RNAcentral is "long non-coding RNA NONRATT011058". Lineage: Eukaryota; Metazoa; Chordata; Mammalia; Rodentia; Muridae. The record is from RNAcentral.